This 389-nucleotide ribosomal RNA is filed under the name uncultured bacterium. RNAcentral's name for it is "bacterial SSU rRNA". It matches the Rfam family "Bacterial small subunit ribosomal RNA", at positions 28 to 417 of the family's 1533-position model. The record is from RNAcentral.
GACGAACGCUGGCGGCGUGCUUAACACAUGCAAGUCGAGCGGUAAGGCCCUUUCGGGGGUACACGAGCGGCGAACGGGUGAGUAACACGUGGGUGACCUGCCCUCAGCUCUGGGAUAAGCCUGGGAAACCGGGUCUAAUACUGGAUAUGACUCCAUGACGCAUGUUGUGGGGUGGAAAGCCUUGUGCGGCUGAGGAUGGGCCCGCGGCCUAUCAGCUUGUUGGUGGGGUGANGGCCUACCAAGGCGACGACGGGUAGCCGGCCUGAGAGGGCGACCGGCCACACUGGGACUGAGACACGGCCCAGACCUCCUACGGGAGGCAGCAGUGGGGAAUAUUGCACAAUGGGCGAAAGCCUGAUGCAGCGACGCCGCGUGAGGGAUGACGGCCU